This 530-nucleotide long non-coding RNA is filed under the name Homo sapiens (human). Its description in RNAcentral is "long non-coding RNA NONHSAT169547.1". The record is from RNAcentral. Lineage: Eukaryota; Metazoa; Chordata; Mammalia; Primates; Hominidae.
AAAGGAAAAGAAGGUGAGGAUAGAAGGGGCCAGUAGGGAUUGAAGAUUAAAAAUGUGGCAAAGCACACAUCUCAACCCAGUGCUGUCAGAGAGUCUGCCCACAGCUCGUCUUGAAAGAAGCACACGCUUCCAGACACAGACUUUCAGUCCCCAUGGAAGAGAAGCACAGUCAACCAAGGCCACAGACUUCACCAGUAUGAGGCCCCUGGCAACUUCACACGACCUAACUGAACUCUCUCAAGCCAUCCUUUCAAAAGGAAUGAAAAUUGAGGUCUCUUGUUUUAUGCUGAAGACUCUACGAUGCCUGCAGAGUCAGGAACUCUGGAAUCUUAGGUGUCCUCCUUACAUAUCCAUCUCCAUCACCCUUGGCUGAACAUGCUGAGAAAGAAUGACCCGGCAUGCAUGCAGAGAAGAGUCACUACUUUCUGUGUUCAAACAUGUUCGGGCCCUGUGUACACACUCUAUGCAUCACCCAGCACGGUCCUGUUUUUGUGUAGCGUGGCUUCAUUCUUUUGCAAUUCUACUCCCAG